Molecule: long non-coding RNA, 529 nt
Filed under: Olea europaea (common olive)
Lineage: Eukaryota; Viridiplantae; Streptophyta; Magnoliopsida; Lamiales; Oleaceae
Description: long non-coding RNA (OEUR_LNC002875)
Source: RNAcentral
AAAGAAGAAAGGUUUAGGUUUGUCCAAAUUUCGUAUGCCAUGCAUGACGAAUGAAGUGAUGUAUUGUUUCAAUUGGUUUCGACCUAGUAACUCCUUGAGUUUUUGCACCAGUAUUUAUUGUUGUUCAACCUUUCCAGUUUCAAUCCAGUAUAAUAUUUGUACUUAUCACACUGGUGAAAAAUUUCUAUCAUACUGAGAAAGUAAAGAAAAAGGCAGUAUUUUGAGCAAUCAUUUUAGCUUCGUCUUAUAGUAGUUUGGUAGUCGUUAGAUGCUUGAUUUGACCCUAGUGCCCCUCAGGGCAGCCUCGGGGAGAGAGAAUCAUUCUCCCGGUGUUUAGUCCAUUUCGGUUUGGAAGGUUCUAUUUUGGAAUUUCUAAGACUUUCAAGCUGAGCUGUCUACGACGAACAUAGAUGGAGACAAUAUAUCCAGUCUCUUUUGUGACUCAUUGAGUCACCUUAAAAAUCAUACAUUAAGUACAUUAUUGAGUAAGAUAGAGGACACAAAUUUUUCUAAAAAAAUUCGCCAUAAU